CAAGUGUAGCGGUGAAAUGCGUACGAGAUUUGGAGGAACACCAGUGGCGAAGGCGGCUUUCUGGUCUGUAACUGACGCUGAGGCGCGAAAGCGUGGGGAGCAAACAGGAUUAGAUACCCUGGUAGUCCAUGCCGUAAACGAUGAGUGCUAAGUGUUAGGGGGUUUCCGCCCCUUAGUGCUGCAGCUAACGCAUUAAGCACUCCGCCUGGGGAGUACGGCCGCAAGGCUG
Molecule: ribosomal RNA, 229 nt
Filed under: uncultured organism
Description: partial 16S ribosomal RNA
Rfam family: Bacterial small subunit ribosomal RNA
Source: RNAcentral